RNAcentral lists this ribosomal RNA (253 nucleotides) under uncultured bacterium. RNAcentral describes it as "partial 16S ribosomal RNA". It matches the Rfam family "Bacterial small subunit ribosomal RNA", at positions 524 to 776 of the family's 1533-position model. The record is from RNAcentral.
UACAGAGGGUGCGAGCGUUAAUCGGAAUUACUGGGCGUAAAGCGUGCGUAGACGGUUAUUUAAGUCGGGUGUGAAAGCCCCGGGCUCAACCUGGGAAUUGCAUUCGAGACUGAAUAGCUAGGGUACGGUAGAGGGAAGCGGAAUUUCCGGUGUAGCGGUGAAAUGCGCAGAUAUCAGGAGGAACACCAAUUGCGAAGGCAGCUCGCUGGGACGUUACUGACGCUGAGACGCGAAAGCGUGGGGAGCGAACAGG